AGAGUUUGAUCAUGGCUCAGAUUGAACGCUGGCGGCAGGCCUAACACAUGCAAGUCGAGCGGUAACAGAUUGAUAGCUUGCUAUCAAUGCUGACGAGCGGCGGACGGGUGAGUAAUGCCUGGGAAUAUGCCCUGAUGUGGGGGAUAACUAUUGGAAACGAUAGCUAAUACCGCAUAAUCUCUUCGGAGCAAAGAGGGGGACCUUCGGGCCUCUCGCGUCAGGAUUAGCCCAGGUGGGAUUAGCUUGUUGGUGAGGUAAUGGCUCACCAAGGCAACGAUCCCUAGCUGGUCUGAGAGGAUGAUCAGCCACACUGGAACUGAGACACGGUCCAGACUCCUACGGGAGGCAGCAGCGGGGAAUAUUGCACAAUGGGGGAAACCCUGAUGCAGCCAUGCCGCGUGUAUGAAGAAGGCCUUCGGGUUGUAAAGUACUUUCAGUUGUGAGGAAGGCGUUGAAGUUAAUAGCUUCAACGUUUGACGUUAGCAACAGAAGAAGCACCGGCUAACUCCGUGCCAGCAGCCGCGGUAAUACGGAGGGUGCGAGCGUUAAUCGGAAUUACUGGGCGUAAAGCGCAUGCAGGUGGUUCAUUAAGUCAGAUGUGAAAGCCCGGGGCUCAACCUCGGAACCGCAUUUGAAACUGGUGAACUAGAGUGCUGUAGAGGGGGGUAGAAUUUCA
RNAcentral lists this ribosomal RNA (676 nucleotides) under uncultured Vibrionaceae bacterium. RNAcentral describes it as "bacterial SSU rRNA". It matches the Rfam family "Bacterial small subunit ribosomal RNA", at positions 8 to 671 of the family's 1533-position model. Lineage: Bacteria; Pseudomonadati; Pseudomonadota; Gammaproteobacteria; Vibrionales; Vibrionaceae. The record is from RNAcentral.